Molecule: transfer RNA, 73 nt
Filed under: Microcaldota archaeon
Lineage: Archaea; Nanobdellati; Microcaldota
Description: tRNA-Pro
Rfam family: tRNA
About the family: Transfer RNA (tRNA) molecules are approximately 80 nucleotides in length. Their secondary structure includes four short double-helical elements and three loops (D, anti-codon, and T loops).
Source: RNAcentral
GGGGAGAUGAGCUAACCUGGUAUGCUGUCAGCUUUGGGAGCUGGUUGUCUGAGUUCAAAUCUCAGUCUCCCCA